AGGCACUAUCAGCAAUGGGGCUGCCAUGUGCUCAGGACAGAUUAGAGAAUUUGAACACAGAGUGGACUAUCAUAUGAUGAAUGAAUGAAGAUUUGACUUCAACUUUUUUUUUAUCAUCACUAUUGGCUCGACCUGAUCUUUAUGCUAUGUGUCCUGGGAUGAAAGAAGUAGGAAUUAAUCUCUUGCUACUCUCAGAUGGAUGUAGGGAUA
Long non-coding RNA from Dermochelys coriacea (leatherback sea turtle), 210 nucleotides. RefSeq lists it as uncharacterized. The transcript has 3 exons. The record is from RefSeq and is a predicted model, not a curated record. NCBI's taxonomy places the organism in Eukaryota, Metazoa, Chordata, Testudines, Dermochelyidae.